GACCCUGUAUGUGUGCGUGUGCAUGUGU
RNAcentral lists this small RNA (28 nucleotides) under Bombyx mori (domestic silkworm). RNAcentral describes it as "ovarian small RNA-15479". Lineage: Eukaryota; Metazoa; Arthropoda; Insecta; Lepidoptera; Bombycidae. The record is from RNAcentral.